This is a long non-coding RNA of Crotalus tigris (Tiger rattlesnake), 801 nucleotides long. RefSeq lists it as uncharacterized. NCBI's taxonomy places the organism in Eukaryota, Metazoa, Chordata, Lepidosauria, Squamata, Viperidae. The transcript has 3 exons. The record is from RefSeq and is a predicted model, not a curated record.
GCUUGAGGUCGGAAGGGCGGGGCAAAGGCGGGCGCCUCAGGGGAGACUUUCCUCUUUCCCCUCUCCUGGCUUUCUGCGCGGAUGGGAGGCCACCAGAUCCCGCUCACAGUUUUCCACCCUAUAUAAUAUUUCUGAAGAAGAACUGAGGCCUCUGAAGUAUGAGUAACAGCAAUCGUUAAUAAUCAUCAUCAUUCGUGUUGGGAUGUGAAGCGUGCGUUUUUCAGCAGGUUAAAAUUCACUUCCCAGUCUGACUCAUCAUAUACACAGAAGAGAGAGAGAAAAUGAAACCCCUCUAAUAAAAAUCGAAAUCGGAUCCAAAAGUAUUCAAGUCACAUUUUCUGAAAGGCCUUGGAAAUUUCCCGUCCUUUUCUCUCUCUUUCUCUUGGCCAUGUUUUUCUUUUUUUACAAAAAUGUUAAAGAAAUAGACAACAUGCAAGCAACAACGGGUGAGAAAGGAAAUUCAAGGAGACAAGUGUAUCUUAUAUUAAUCAAACCUGCUCAUGCAUUUAUCUCUGUGUCAUGUGAUCAGUUAUACUGUAAAUGUUGGAGUCAGUUGACUUAUUGAUAAAUGUGGCCCAUUUUUUUAAAUCCAUCCUUCAAUCAACAGUUCUCUGCAGAAACGGAAUAACUGCAUAAUUUUCCAGAUUUGAAAACAGAAAAAUGAACGAUUCCAUAAUUUGAAAGAUAAAAGGAAAUAACUUGUCUCACUUGUCCUCUUCUGAGUUGCAAAAGAAUUUGUAUCUACAAAGGCAUUUACAAAACCUGUUAAGUCUUCCAGAAUUAAAGGGUGUAUGCCAGAAA